RNAcentral lists this ribosomal RNA (376 nucleotides) under uncultured bacterium. RNAcentral's name for it is "bacterial SSU rRNA". It matches the Rfam family "Bacterial small subunit ribosomal RNA", at positions 28 to 404 of the family's 1533-position model. The record is from RNAcentral.
GACGAACGCUGGCGGCGUGCUUAACACAUGCAAGUCGAGCGGUAAGGCCCUUUCGGGGGUACACGAGCGGCGAACGGGUGAGUAACACGUGGGUGACCUGCCCUUAGCUCUGGGAUAAGCCUGGGAAACUGGGUCUAAUACCGGAUAUGACUCCAUGACGCAUGUUGUGGGGUGGAAAGCCUUGUGCGGCUAGGGAUGGGCCCGCGGCCUAUCAGCUUGUUGGUGGGGUGAUGGCCUACCAAGGCGACGACGGGUAGCCGGCCUGAGAGGGCGACCGGCCACACUGGGACUGAGAUACGGCCCAGACUCCUACGGGAGGCAGCAGUGGGGAAUCUUGCGCAAUGGGCGAAAAGCCUGACGCAGCGACGCCGCGUGA